GGAGGGGUGUCCGAGCGGUUUAAGGAGGCGGUCUUGAAAACCGUUGAACUCUUGCCGGGUUCCGUGGGUUCGAAUCCCACCCUCUCCG
This 88-nucleotide transfer RNA is filed under the name Peptococcaceae bacterium. RNAcentral's name for it is "tRNA-Ser". It matches the Rfam family "tRNA". From Rfam's summary of the family: Transfer RNA (tRNA) molecules are approximately 80 nucleotides in length. Their secondary structure includes four short double-helical elements and three loops (D, anti-codon, and T loops). The record is from RNAcentral. Lineage: Bacteria; Bacillati; Bacillota; Clostridia; Eubacteriales; Peptococcaceae.